UCGUGUCGUGAGAUGUUCGGUUAAGUCCGCUAACGAGCGCAACCCUCGCUGUGUGUUACAAGUGUCACACGGAACUGCCGGUCAUAAACCGGAGGAAGUGGGGAUGACGUCAAGUCAGCAUGGCCUUUAUAUCCUGGGCUACACACACGCUACAAUGGGAAGGGACAAUAGGUUGCGAAGCCGCGAGGUGGAGCCAAUCCAGCAAAACUUCCCUCAGUUCAGAUUGCAGGCUGCAACUCGCCUGCAUGAAGUUGGAGUUGCUAGUAAACGCAGGUCAGCCAUACUGCGUUGAAUACGUUCCCGGGGCUU
RNAcentral lists this ribosomal RNA (309 nucleotides) under uncultured Anaerolineaceae bacterium. RNAcentral's name for it is "bacterial SSU rRNA". It matches the Rfam family "Bacterial small subunit ribosomal RNA", at positions 1060 to 1382 of the family's 1533-position model. Lineage: Bacteria; Bacillati; Chloroflexota; Anaerolineae; Anaerolineales; Anaerolineaceae. The record is from RNAcentral.